This is a long non-coding RNA of Cervus elaphus (red deer), 657 nucleotides long. RefSeq lists it as uncharacterized. The transcript has 4 exons. The record is from RefSeq and is a predicted model, not a curated record. NCBI's taxonomy places the organism in Eukaryota, Metazoa, Chordata, Mammalia, Artiodactyla, Cervidae.
CGUCAUGAGUAUCCAGGCAGAAAGACCCGACACAGUUUGGGCGGAGAGCAAGAGAAACCCCAGGGAGGUGGGGAAUCCCUCGAGGUUUCACUCCCCCCCCGUCCAGACAUCACCUUCUGGCCUAAGACCCUGAGAGCCUUGCCCAGGGACCUGGGACUUUGCCCUGACCACUCUCCUACUGCCUGGAGGACCCUAUUCAUUCCAAAGAGAACAACAUGGCCUAGCUGUGAGCAGCAGGCCAGCUUCAAGUAACUCUGAGGUCUAGCUAGCACAGGCUCUGGGCCCAGGGGCUUCAGUAGUUGCAGCACAUGGGAUCAGCUGCUCUGAGGAAAACUUGACCCAUCAGUUGAGUCUAUGAAUCCACCAAGAUAGCUACUGCCAAACACACCUCUGGCUCCCUAAGUAAGUGUUCUUACUUCUUCCUCUUCUGUUCCCCACCAGAUUAUAUCCACUCUCCAAUAGCUUGGACUCAUGCAUGAUGUAUUCUGUCUAUAUCCUGACAAUUCAACCAUCCUCUCAAGCCCCGCUGACUACUCCACCUCCUCCCCCUCUCACUGCAGCUCCCACUCUCUGAGGGUCACGUGGAUGUGCCUCCAGAAUUUGCAUGCAGGCAGGUGUACGUAUCCCUCCCUCUUUGCACUCCACAUGCCCCAGUGA